This is a long non-coding RNA of Dama dama (fallow deer), 1508 nucleotides long. RefSeq lists it as uncharacterized. The record is from RefSeq and is a predicted model, not a curated record. The transcript has 2 exons. NCBI's taxonomy places the organism in Eukaryota, Metazoa, Chordata, Mammalia, Artiodactyla, Cervidae.
CAGAGCUUGAGCUACAGGGGAAGCUAAGAGAACCUGGAAAAAUACUUUUUUCUCUAGUCCUCGUUUGUCCUAUGUGCAGUGAAGUUGACUUUUUCUUAGGACUUCCGCAGCUAGCCCCGGAACUGCUCUGCGGAGAGAACCGCCUCUGAGCUGUGCUCUCCCUUCCCCCGCAGCGCAGAGCGCCGUGGGCAGCAAGAUGCCAGCGGACCGUGAAGCCGCUAAGCACGGGAGGAAGAGGGGGAUUUCUCAUUUGUUUCUCCCAGCUCUAAAUGAAAGGGGGCAAAAGUGGGUAAAGGUCAGAGAGAAGGAGGGAGAAGAGCCAGCAAGAUAUUAAGACAACUGGGAAGGGCUGAGAGGAGUCAAUGAAACCCUCGGUGGUCGUGGGACUGCGGAAGGACUGUCCUGCAGGACUGCGCUGUGUUAAGUUUUUCAGGUAGCCAUGUACGGAUGUGACAGUUGGACCAUAAAGAAGGCUGAGCGCUGAAGAAUUGAUGUCUUUGAACUGUGGUGCUGGAGAAGACUCUUGGGAGUUCCUUGGACAGCAAGGAGAUCAAACCAGUCCAUCCUAAAGGAGAUCAACUCUGAAUAUUCAUUGGAAGGACUGAUGCUGAAGCUUAAGCUCCAAUACUUUGGCCACCUGAUGUGAAGAGCCAACUCAUUGGAAAAGACCCUGAUGCUGGGAAAGAUUGAAGGCAGGAGGUGAAGGGGACAACAGAGGAUGAGAUGGUUGGAUGGCAUCACUGACUCAAUGGACAUGAGAGGGGACUCUGGGAGAUGGUGAAGGACAGGGAAGACUGGCAUGCUGUAGUCCACGGGGUCACAAAGAGUUGGACGACUGACCGUCUGAACAACAACAAACAUUCUUAUAUUAACUUCAGCCCAGAUGAAGAGUUGUGGAACCACGCUUUAAGAUACACUGCUUGGAUCUUGGACAACAUAGGGCCUAUGCUCUCCAUAGUGAGAAAUGGAAAUAACCUUGAUGGGUCUCCUGGCAAUAUUGUUCAGGACCUGAGCCAAUCUGGGCUCUGAGGCUGUUAAUCAUGCCUGCAACAGCACCCUGCACUAGGGAAGGACAGAUUAGGACCCUGCACUAAUCUGAAAAUUUCCAGUAAGGGAGGUUCGCUGCGUCAAAACAGGAAAACACUUCAGUGCUGUGUGUCUGCUGGUUUAAUUGUGUGGAUAAGUUUAAAUUAAAUAAACUGCAUUUGAUGUAAAUCGAGAAAGUUGGACUGGGCAGGUUGUUGCAGACAUUGAGUCCUUACAAUGAUUAAUAUUGGGGGGGGGGUCUUUUCAAUACAUAGGAUAAUUUUUAUUAUUGGGGUGCAGUGCUAGCAGCAUGAGAAGCAUCCUAAGACAGUGUGCUUUAUGUUCUGUUCUCUUUGGUGCAACAAAAGGUCACUGAUUCUAUAGCUGCUGGGUUCUGAAUUUGAAUCUUGGAUCUGCCACUUUAGCUUUGCAACCCUGGGCAAGAUACUAAGUUCCAAUAAAAUGUCCUGUAUUGAGGUUUA